This is a long non-coding RNA of Esox lucius (northern pike), 1098 nucleotides long. NCBI's taxonomy places the organism in Eukaryota, Metazoa, Chordata, Actinopteri, Esociformes, Esocidae. The record is from Ensembl.
AGUUUGUGUUGUUUGAUGUUUAACAUGUUUUUACCUGUCCCCAAAUUGUUACAGUUGGUUAAUAUUUGGCUUUGGUGUUUGGCCUGCAUGUCACUAUCACGUCUGGGGAGGACAGAAAUAAUCCACUUGGCAUGACGGAGAACUUGGAAGCAUGCACAAGAUUUCCCCAUUCAGUCACCGCCCGCCUUUUUCCUGCCCAACAAAACAUAUUUACUGGAAGUUUGUCUAUGAGCCGAAGCUGAGUCAGUGUGGGAUAGCGUACAAUAUGAAGCGGCUGCUUGGCCUGAUGAAACAAAACUUUAAGGACAACCAGUCAAAGAAACCUCAUCUGUCCUCCCUCUAUAGCAGAAUCACUCAACUUCAAGCCAAUCUGUUUCAUAGUUCCGACGGUGGGAAGUAGAUUAGAAAACCAAUCGGCAACUUUUUCACAGUGAGGCAACAAUGGAAAAACCUACACGCAUAACCACAUUUGUUGAGUGUAACUCAGUAACGUGUGUGUGUCUGUCUAUGUGUGUGUGCCAUCGACGAUCAGACGGGAAUACAGGCAUGUCUUCUUUCUGUGAGACGUGCACGUGUAUGAUUGUGCGUGUAUGUUUGGCUGUGCGAGCCAAAACAGUAAUCGACCCAGCCAAGUCUCUCAUUCUCUGCUUCAGAUGUCCUGCCAGAUGUACACAGGCAACAGGAGCAACAUAGAAGAACGAGCAUUUACAGAGUAGACAGGUCCAACUGACCGCUGACCGCCUAUCUGACCUUUGCCCUCCAGGAUACGCACAUGCAACACGCAAUUGCUGAAACCCUGACGGUGAAACAUAAGGAAAUUGAAAAUAGUUCCCUGAGAUGGCCUGUUAACCAACAGCGUGCAUGCCUCACGCGGAUGACACAACAAGGCUUUCUGGAAACAAAUGCUGGUCAUGGAAGCUGCACACCAUGUAGUGCCCUUGAAGGAGGCGUCAUUUUGGAGUCAGCCCCAGUCACCCAUCCUGGUGGUCUGAACUGAAUCACAAAGGCACCUGACUCACCUCUGUAGACACAGCUGGCGCUCUCCAAAGCUCAUUACGAGCCAUGCCGAUUUGGUGUAAGGCCCCCCCCCCCCCCCCC